GACGGAGGGUGCAAGCGUUGUUCGGAUUGACUGGGCGUAAAGGGCGUGUAGGCGGUCGGCCAAGUCUGAUGUGAAAGCCCGAGGCUCAGCCUCGGAAGUGCGUCGGAAACUAGUCGGCUGGAGCGCGAUAGAGGAGGGUGGAAUUCCUGGUGUAGCGGUGAAAUGCGUAGAUAUUGGGAGGAACACCAGUGGCGAAGGCGGCUCGCUGGACCGGUUCUGACGCUGAGGCGCGAAAGCGUGGGGAGCAAACGGG
Molecule: ribosomal RNA, 253 nt
Filed under: uncultured bacterium
Lineage: Bacteria
Description: partial 16S ribosomal RNA
Rfam family: Bacterial small subunit ribosomal RNA
Source: RNAcentral